AACGAACGCUGGCGGCGUGCUUAACACAUGCAAGUCGAACGAUGAAGCUAGAGCUUGCUCUGGUGGAUUAGUGGCGAACGGGUGAGUAACACGUGAGUAACCUGCCCCGAACUCUGGGAUAACUGCUGGAAACGGUAGCUAAUACUGGAUACGACCAACGAAGGCAUCUUCUGUUGGAGGAAAGAAUUUCGGUUCGGGAUGGACUCGCGGCCUAUCAGCUAGUUGGUGAGGUAAAGGCUCACCAAGGCAACGAUCAGUAGCUGGUCUGAGAGGACGAUCAGCCACACUGGGACUGAGACACGGCCCAGACUCCUACGGGAGGCAGCAGUGGGGAAUUUUGGACAAUGGGGGCAACCCUGAUCCAGCAAUGCCGCGUGAGUGAAGAAGGCCUUCGGGUUGUAAAGCUCUUUUGUCAGGGAAGAAACAGCAGCUCUAACACAGUUUGCGAAUGACGGUACCUGAAGGAUAAGCACCGGCUAACUACGUGCCAGCAGCCGCCGUAA
This 503-nucleotide ribosomal RNA is filed under the name uncultured bacterium. RNAcentral describes it as "partial 16S ribosomal RNA". It matches the Rfam family "Bacterial small subunit ribosomal RNA", at positions 29 to 523 of the family's 1533-position model. The record is from RNAcentral.